AUUGAACGCUGGCGGCAGGCCUAACACAUGCAAGUCGAACGGUAGCACAGAGAGCUUGCUCUCGGGUGACGAGUGGCGGACGGGUGAGUAAUGUCUGGGAAACUGCCCGAUGGAGGGGGAUAACUACUGGAAACGGUAGCUAAUACCGCAUAACGUCGCAAGACCAAAGUGGGGGACCUUCGGGCCUCACACCAUCGGAUGUGCCCAGAUGGGAUCAGCUAGUAGGUGGGGUAAUGGCUCACCUAGGCGACGAUCCCUAGCUGGUCUGAGAGGAUGACCAGCCACACUGGAACGGAGACACGGUCCAGACUCCUACGGGAGGCAGCAGUGGGGAAUAUUGCACAAUGGGCGCAAGCCUGAUGCAGCCAUGCCGCGUGUAUGAAGAAGGCCUUCGGGUUGUAAAGUACUUUCAGCGGGGAGGAAGGCGGUGAAGUUAAUAACUUCACCGAUUGACGUUACCCGCAGAAGAAGCACCGGCUAACUCCGUGCCAGCCGCCGCAGUAA
RNAcentral lists this ribosomal RNA (504 nucleotides) under uncultured bacterium. RNAcentral's name for it is "partial 16S ribosomal RNA". It matches the Rfam family "Bacterial small subunit ribosomal RNA", at positions 29 to 523 of the family's 1533-position model. The record is from RNAcentral.